GAUGAACGCUGGCGGCGUGCCUAAUACAUGCAAGUCUAGCGAACGGACGAGAAGCUUGCUUCUCUGAUGUUAGCGGCGGACGGGUGAGUAACACGUGGAUAACCUACCUAUAAGACUGGGAUAACUUCGGGAAACCGUAGCUAAUACCGGAUAAUAUUUUGAACCGCAUGGUUCAAAAGUGAAAGACGGUCUUGCUGUCACUUAUAGAUGGAUCCGCGCUGCAUUAGCUAGUUGGUAAGGUAACGGCUUACCAAGGCAACGAUGCAUAGCCGACCUGAGAGGGUGAUCGGCCACACUGGAACUGAGACACGGUCCAGACUCCUACGGGAGGCAGCAGUAGGGAAUCUUCCGCAAUGGGCGAAAGCCUGACGGAGCAACGCCGCGUGAGUGAUGAAGGUCUUCGGAUCGUAAAACUCUGUUACUAGGGAAGAACAUAUGUGUAAGUAACUGUGCACAUCUUGACGGUACCUAAUCAGAAAGCCACGGCUAACUACGUG
This 497-nucleotide ribosomal RNA is filed under the name uncultured bacterium. Its description in RNAcentral is "partial 16S ribosomal RNA". It matches the Rfam family "Bacterial small subunit ribosomal RNA", at positions 28 to 507 of the family's 1533-position model. The record is from RNAcentral.